AGAUGUGGGGGCAAUUUGGCUGAGACAUCUGUCACCCCAUUGAUUGCCAGGGUUGAUUUGGCUGCUCCUCCCUCGAUACUUUCUAUCAUGCUUCCCUCCUGAAGCUGUGGCUCGGUUGAAGAGGAUGACCUUCCCUGACAGAGGAGGGCCAGUCUUUGGUCAAGGGUAUAUGAGUAGCUGUGCUUUUCUAUUAGAAACUCCAAACAAGCUCUCAAGACUCAGAGAGAUAUAAUGGCUUAAAGUGUAGCCCAUUUACAAAGGAUGAACAUUUU
This 272-nucleotide small nuclear RNA is filed under the name Nannospalax galili (Upper Galilee mountains blind mole rat). Its description in RNAcentral is "7SK RNA (ENSNGAG00000003162.1)". It matches the Rfam family "7SK RNA". Rfam says of the family: 7SK was discovered as an abundant small nuclear RNA in the mid-70s but a possible function has only recently been suggested. Two independent studies have found that 7SK RNA binds the CDK9/cyclin T complex (known as elongation factor P-TEFb). Lineage: Eukaryota; Metazoa; Chordata; Mammalia; Rodentia; Spalacidae. The record is from RNAcentral.